AAGAAACCAAAUGAAAUGUUAAAACUUUCAGCAACGGAUCUCUUGGUUCUCGCAUCGAUGAAGAACGCAGCGAAAUGCGAUAAGUAGUGUGAAUUGCAGAAUUCAGUGAAUCAUCGAAUCUUUGAACGCACAUUGCGCCUCCCGGUAUUCCGGGAGGCAUGCCUGUUCGAGAGUCAUUGACAACCACAUCGAAUCCCCCCAUUUCAGUCCUCGCAGGGGGCUUUGGGGGGAGAUCGGUCCUGGGGGAAGAGGAGUGUGUCGCCUCGCUAAGCUUGGCAAAUCCCCUCCCCUCCGAAAUUCAUAUGCGGUCUGUGCCAAACCCACAUCUUAUAUGGGCGCGUUGUAGAGGAGGCCCCUCACAAAUUUGGAGGUGCCACUUUUCGCGUGUGUAUAAUAAUGCCGGUUGGGUUUCUUCGGGACCCCAGACUAGCCAGGAAUAAAAAAUCCCCAGUGGCUUUUUGUUACUAAAUGAAUGGUUGACCUCGGAUCAGGUAGGGAUACCCGCUGAACUUAAGCAUAUCAAUAAGCGGAGGAAAAGAAACCAACCGGGAUUGCCUCAGUAACUGCGAGUGAAGUGGCAAAAGCUCAAAUUUGAAAUCCGGUACCUUUGGUGCCUGACUUGUAAUUUGGAGAGACAAAUUUGGUUGGCAGCGCUGGCCUAGGUUCCUUUGAACAGGACAACACAGAGGGUGAGAAUCCCGUGCAUGGUCGGAGUUGCUGUCACAUUGCUAGAUUGUCUUCGACGAGUCGAGUUGUUUGGGAAUGCAGCUCAAAAUGGGGUGGUAAAUGUCAUCUAAGCUAAAUAUUGCGAGAGACCGAUAGCGCACAAGUAGAGUGAUCGAAAGAUGAAAAGCACUUGGAAAAGAGAGUCAAAAAG
This 877-nucleotide ribosomal RNA is filed under the name vouchered mycorrhizae (Genea). RNAcentral describes it as "eukaryotic LSU rRNA". The stretch from base 478 to 877 matches the Rfam family "Eukaryotic large subunit ribosomal RNA", at positions 1 to 395 of the family's 3401-position model. The record is from RNAcentral. Lineage: Eukaryota; Fungi; Ascomycota; Pezizomycetes; Pezizales; Pyronemataceae.